RNAcentral lists this ribosomal RNA (253 nucleotides) under uncultured bacterium. RNAcentral describes it as "partial 16S ribosomal RNA". It matches the Rfam family "Bacterial small subunit ribosomal RNA", at positions 524 to 776 of the family's 1533-position model. The record is from RNAcentral.
GACAGAGGGGGCAAGCGUUGCUCGGAAUCACUGGGCGUAAAGGGCGUGUAGGCGGUUCGGUAAGUGGGAUGUGAAAUCCCCGGGCUCACCCCGGGACCUGCAUCCCAAACUGCUGAGCUUGAGUACAGGAGAGGGUGGGGGAAUUCCAGGUGUAGCGGUGAAAUGCGUAGAUAUCUGGAGGAACACCGGUGGCGAAGGCGCCCACCUGGCCUGCUACUGACGCUGAUGCGCGAAAGCUAGGGGAGCAAACGGG